UACAGAGGGUGCAAGCGUUGUUCGGAAUUACUGGGCGUAAAGCGCGUGUAGGCGGUCUGAUAAGUCAGAUGUGAAAUCCCUCAGCUUAACUGGGGAACUGCGUCCGAUACUGGAUGGCUCGAGUUUGGGAGAGGGAUGCGGAAUUCCAGGUGUAGCGGUGAAAUGCGUAGAUAUCUGGAGGAACACCGGUGGCGAAGGCGGCAUCCUGGACCAACACUGACACUGAGGAGCGAAAGCCAGGGGAGCAAACGGG
This 253-nucleotide ribosomal RNA is filed under the name uncultured bacterium. RNAcentral describes it as "partial 16S ribosomal RNA". It matches the Rfam family "Bacterial small subunit ribosomal RNA", at positions 524 to 776 of the family's 1533-position model. The record is from RNAcentral.